RNAcentral lists this ribosomal RNA (1058 nucleotides) under Bacillus velezensis. RNAcentral's name for it is "bacterial SSU rRNA". It matches the Rfam family "Bacterial small subunit ribosomal RNA", at positions 278 to 1323 of the family's 1533-position model. The record is from RNAcentral. Lineage: Bacteria; Bacillati; Bacillota; Bacilli; Caryophanales; Bacillaceae.
GAUGCGUAGCCGACCUGAGAGGGUGAUCGGCCACACUGGGACUGAGACACGGCCCAGACUCCUACGGGAGGCAGCAGUAGGGAAUUUUCCGCAAUGGACGAAAGUCUGACGGAGCAACGCCGCGUGAGUGAUGAAGGUUUUCGGAUCGUAAAACUCUGUUGUUAGGGAAGAACAAGUGCCGUUCAAAUAGGGCGGCACCUUGACGGUACCUAACCAGAAAGCCACGGCUAACUACGUGCCAGCAGCCGCGGUAAUACGUAGGUGGCAAGCGUUGUCCGGAAUUAUUGGGCGUAAAGCGGCGUCGCAGGCGGUUUCUUAAGUCUGAUGUGAAAGCCCCCGGCUCAACCGGGGAGGGUCAUUGGAAACUGGGGAACUUGAGUGCAGAAGAGGAGAGUGGAAUUCCACGUGUAGCGGUGAAAUGCGUAGAGAUGUGGAGGAACACCAGUGGCGAAGGCGAUCUUUCUGGUCUGUAACUGACGCUGUAGGCAGCGAAAGCGUGGGGAGCGAACAGGAUUAGAUACCCUGGUAGUCCACGCCGUAAACGAUGAGUGCUAAGUGUUAGGGGGUUUCCGCCCCUUAGUGCUGCAGCUAACGCAUUAAGCACUCCGCCUGGGGAGUACGGUCGCAAGACUGAAACUCAAAGGAAUUGACGGGGGCCCGCACAAGCGGUGGAGCAUGUGGUUUAAUUCGAAGCAACGCGAAGAACCUUACCAGGUCUUGACAUCCUCUGACAAUCCUAGAGAUAGGACUUCCCCUUCCGGAGCAGAGUGACAGGUGGUGCAUGGUUGUCGUCAGCUCGUGUCGUGAGAUGUUGGGUUAAGUCCCGCAACGAGCGCAACCCUUGAUCUUAGUUGCCAGCAUUCAGUUGGGCACUCUAAGGUGACUGCCGGUGACAAACCGGAGGAAGGUGGGGAUGACGUCAAAUCAUCAUGCCCCUUAUGACCUGGGCUACACACGUGCUACAAUGGACAGAACAAAGGGCAGCGAAACCGCGAGGUUAAGCCAAUCUCACAAAUCUGUUCUCAGUUCGGAUCGCAGUCUGCAACUCGACUGCGUGA